ACGAACGCUGGCGGCGUGCUUAACACAUGCAAGUCGAACGGAAAGGCCCUGCUUUUGUGGGGUGCUCGAGUGGCGAACGGGUGAGUAACACGUGAGUAACCUGCCCUUGACUUUGGGAUAACUUCAGGAAACUGGGGCUAAUACCGGAUAGGAGCUCCUGCUGCAUGGUGGGGGUUGGAAAGUUUCGGCGGUUGGGGAUGGACUCGCGGCUUAUCAGCUUGUUGGUGGGGUAGUGGCUUACCAAGGCUUUGACGGGUAGCCGGCCUGAGAGGGUGACCGGCCAAAUUGGGACUGGGAUACGGGCCAGACUCCUACGGGAGGGAGCAGUGGGGAAUAUUGCACAAUGGGCGGAAGCCUGAUGCAGCAACGCCGCGUGCGGGAUGACGGCCUUCGGGUUGUAAACCGCUUUCGCCUGUGACGAAGCGUGAGUGACGGUAAUGGGUAAAGAAGCACCGGCUAACUACGUG
This 467-nucleotide ribosomal RNA is filed under the name uncultured bacterium. Its description in RNAcentral is "partial 16S ribosomal RNA". It matches the Rfam family "Bacterial small subunit ribosomal RNA", at positions 29 to 507 of the family's 1533-position model. The record is from RNAcentral.